AGAGACAGCAGCAGCCGCGGUAAUACAGAGGGUGCGAGCGUUAAUCGGAUUUACUGGGCGUAAAGCGUGCGUAGGCGGCUUUUUAAGUCGGAUGUGAAAUCCCUGAGCUUAACUUAGGAAUUGCAUUCGAUACUGGGAAGCUAGAGUAUGGGAGAGGAUGGUAGAAUUCCAGGUGUAGCGGUGAAAUGCGUAGAGAUCUGGAGGAAUACCGAUGGCGAAGGCAGCCAUCUGGCCUAAUACUGACGCUGAGGUACGAAAGCAUGGGGAGCAAACAGGAUUAGAUACCCGUGUAGUCCCUGUCUCUUAUAC
Molecule: ribosomal RNA, 309 nt
Filed under: uncultured bacterium
Lineage: Bacteria
Description: partial 16S ribosomal RNA
Rfam family: Bacterial small subunit ribosomal RNA
Source: RNAcentral